RNAcentral lists this ribosomal RNA (3810 nucleotides) under Triticum aestivum (bread wheat). RNAcentral describes it as "partial small subunit ribosomal RNA". Lineage: Eukaryota; Viridiplantae; Streptophyta; Magnoliopsida; Poales; Poaceae. The record is from RNAcentral.
AUGACGGAGCUAGGAGGGAGGAGAUUUGACGGCUGGAGAAUGGAGGAGGGAGGGUGGAGAGAGUGUGAGGAGGGAGGAGGGCUGGAGGUGGCUGGAGGAGCGGAGGCGUGCAGUAGAAAUAGGUCGCGGGGCACUGGGCUCGGGAGACCGCGAAGUGGGAGAGGAGCUCCCAGAGGCGGGGCUCAGAGGACGGCGGCAAUGCAGCAACGGCGGCAAUACGGCGAGGGCGAGAGGAGCACGGUCACGACGGUGAGAGAGGGAGACAGCUUCGGUGGCCCAACUGUGACCUUGAUUGUUUCUCGGUGGAUUGACAAUGGCUUUGCUUGGAGUGAGGAAAAACUUAUUGCUGUGAGCUUGGUUGCCUAUGCUGCUUUAUGGUGUAUUUGUCCGGGCAGUUUCUGUCAUAUCAAUGAGAGAAGCCCCUCUUUUUGCCGGAUUCUCUUGCCUUGGUACGAACUCCAUUUCCGCAUGCUUAUGUUCCCGCAACACUCCCCGCUAGCGCCACUGCACCUCCCCGCUGGUUCUGGCUGCCCCACGCCAUCUGCGCCAUGGAUCCGCCCAGGAGCUUGGCGUGCCGCCUUGCAGCCGGCGGAUCCGGUUGGUUCUAGCGCCAGCGAACCUUGGAAUCGAACGGGAGUCGCCCGCGUGCGCCGGAGCCUAGAAGAUGGGAUUUUGGCAGGCGUUGCUUCGGCCGUAGGGGUAGAAGAAAGGGGCUCCAUAAUUUGCUUCGGCCGUCGAGGGACAAGAAAGGGGUCGCCGGCGUUGCUUCGGGAGAAGAUGGAUCGGAGUUCGUCCUCGUCGUCUUCAUCGGAUGAUUCAGACAUAGAAGAGAUGAUCCUAUACGACGACGUUGAUAACCAGGGAUUUCGACAUAGAAGUGAUUUGGACUUCAAGAUUUAUCACAAUGUUGGUAGCCGUGUGAAGCGUGUCAGGGACGCAGACGAGAUCACUGCAUUUCUUGACACCUACCAGAAGAUUGAGAACAGAACAAAGAGAAGUAACCUCUCCCUUUACUGUCGCCUCCCCAUCUUCUCCGUUCCCACCCCUUCCCCUCCUCCUGGAAGUUGCGGGGGAUAUUGUUUGUGGCUAAAAGCACUGGUCCUCCUCUCCGGUCUCUAUCUCUGUUCCGGGCUUCCGGCCAAGCUACUGCCGGCGUCGCUGGGGUGGUUUGUUCCGGUCGCUCCCACUACAAUCGCAGCGGCCACUGGGGCCGGACAUGCCUAUCUUUCUGUCAUGGAUCACGGCGCCUCCUCCAAUAGGGCCAUGGCGGAAGCGGGCGUGGUCUGUGCGGCCGAGGAUGUCGAUGACCGGCGGAACCCCGACAACGCUUGGUCGGCGAUCUCCCCGAGCGGCAGCGGCGCGCAGUCGGCGCGGGGGGAGAGCGCCGAGACGAGGAGCUCGAGGCUGCUGAGCCCCGCUGCCGCGCCGCCUCCAACAGGAACUAGGAAGCUUGGCACCCGUUUCCAAGGGCUGACCAUCCCCAUCUUCUGCCGCGACCACCUGGGCCCUUUUGAAGUUCUAGCUUUGCCUGUACGUUGUGCCGCUUCCGAUCGCUGCUCCCGCGCGUGUCAUCUUCCGCGCCGCCGCCGCAUCUUGCCUCGGUCGCCGCCGCGUGACGUUCUUCUCCAUGCCGCCGCAGCGAUGUCGUCUUCCGCCCUCUCCACCGGCCAAACUGCCGGCGCCCUCGUCUCGUCCCCCGUCACCACGAUCCCCGUCGCGCUCACCGUCCCGACGUUCUCCGUCCGCCUCGGUCACCACAACUUCAUGAUUUGGGGAGGCAUCACCAGCACUGUUCUUGCCGGUGCCAACCUCCAUGGACACCUCGAUGGAACCAAGGCGGCACUGGCCAAAACACUCGUUGUCGGCACCGGCGACGCUCCUACCGUGGUCGCCAACCCAGAGUACCAUCAAUGGUGGGUUCAAGAUCAGCGCGUCAAGGGGCUCUUUCUCACCUCCAUGGACGAGGAUAUUGCAUGCCAACUCAUUGGCUGCGAGUCGGCGCAUACAGUGUGGACAGCCGUCGCCACCAUGUUCGGCGCCCAGAGCCGCGCCAAUGUCCGUCACAUCCGGCGGCAACUUCAGUCGCUGAGGAAGGACGAUCUCUCCGCCGCGGAAUACAUGAACAAGAUGAAGGCGCUUUCCGACAUUAUGGGCGCCGCCGGCUCCCCGAUCCGCGAUGAUGAUCUUAUCGAUCACAUCCUCACCGGCCUCGGCUCCGCCUACAACUCCAUCACCGCCUCCUUGGGUGUGAGUAAUGCACCCAUGCCCUACUCCAGCUUUUACUCAUUGGUUCUAUCCUUCGAGGUGGCGGGGGUAACGGCGGCAACAACGGUGGUGGUGGCCGUCGCAACAACCGUUGGCGCCCCCGUUUCGGAUGUCCAUGUGCGGAAAUACGACCUGUCCUAUUUGUCACCUGACUUGUUUUCUGCAGAUGCUGCUCUAAUUUCUUCCCAGGAACCCGUCGCCGCACCUGUAUCCACCGGCGGGAUCGACGUGCAUGGCCCCGACGUGCAUGCCACGCCUCCCGAGGCAGCCUCGUCGGCCUCGCCCGCUGGCGCGACCGCGGGCACGACUGGGUCGCCCGCUGUGUCCCCCGCCUCGCCUGGGUCGGCCCAGCCCGCCUCGCCUACUUCGGUUGUCGUCGAGUCGCCAGCCGCCUCCUUUGGGCUGCCGUCUCCGCCUGGAUCUCCCUCGUCGCCUGUUUCGGCCCAGUCCAACGCGUCACCCCGGCCCGUGUCGCCUGUUGCUGAUGAUCAUUCAGCCGCGACACCACCGGUCGGGUCUCCUUCGUCGCCGCCACCUUCUACCGGUGAUGCAGCUACCGGGCACAUUAUGGUCACCCGUCACGGCGAUCAUACGCGUAAAGCCAAGACAUACACGGAUCGUAUGGUGUGGUACGACCCUCGUCGGCGUGCAUUCUUCGCAACACCCACUUCUCAUCGUGAUGCUCUUGGUGAACCGGCUUGGCGUUCGGCCAUGUCUGAGGAAUUUGUUGCCCUUUGUCACACAAACACAUGGGUUUUGGUGCCUCGGCCUCCUGGUACACCUCUCCAUACAAGUGGUCCCAACCCACCGAAUCCAAGAACAGGAUGCAACCUUCAUGUACCAGGAGCAUUGCCAAUGCAUAUACGGAAAAGAAAGGCUUACAUGGUUGAAGUUACAGAAGAUUGCAACUAUAAGCAGGUCAUAUACCUUGCCUCAAACCUAAUGAUGGAUUGCUCAUUCCAAAUGGACUCUCUUAUUGAUUUCUACGGCUCGUCGCCGGCUGACAUCGCGGGUGCCCGUUAUGCCACGCCCAAGAGCCUUUCAUGGACGAGCCGCGGCCGAGAGCAGCCGGACAAAGCGACGGAGAAGCAGCAGCAGCGGAAGGUCGACCAGGUCUCUCGACAAGAGACGAGGCGGGAGGUGCGGUUCGCCCCGGAGUUUGACGGCAUCCACUGCUUGGAGUGGAUGAUCAACCACAACAUGUUCCAUAUUUCCUCAUCGCCGACCCAGCAACAAUGUAUCCACCUGCCACUUUUCCUGUCGGUUUCUAUCUAUUGUUGGAACGAUCUUGACCAACUCCACAGGCGGAUCUUCGCUUUCUUGAUCCUCAGCUCAUCGCCGGCGGACAUCGCAGGCGCCGGCUAUGCCACGCCCAUGCGCCUGUCCUGUUCAAGCCGCGGAAGGGAGCAGCCAGAGAAAGCGACGAAGAAACAGCAGCAGCAGCUGAAGGUGGACCAGGGCUCACCGCCGGAGAGGAAGCGGGAGGUGCGGUUCGCGUCGCAGUUCGACAGCAUCAGCUGCUUCAAGUCCAUGAUCUCCUUCUGA